AAUUAGAUCUUCAAAUUUACUCAGCUGAAUUUUGUUUUUUAACACAGUCAAAUGCUGGUGUAUGUUUUUCUUAUAUCUCCUUCGGCAGCCAGCAUUGUGUGCUAAAGUAGAGUAAGCCAGCUAUAAACACUGGUCAAAUAAAAGCACAAAUUAGUGUUUUCCUACUACCCUCUUUUUUCACAUAAUUUCCUUGCCUUCUACUUUACCCUUCAUGACAAGACUCAAUGUCUAUGUAUAAUGUGUCUUGAAGUUUUUAGAAAGAUAGCUGUAAAAAUCUAGUAAAUGAGUAAUAGUGAUAAUACCUGAAGAAUUCUAUCCAUUGAAGAUUCCGUUAAUUUGGACUUAAGCCUGCUAUAGCGCAUUGACAAUCGGUUUCAAAAAGUGAAGUGCAGUGGAAGGAGAACAAGAUUACAAAUCAGGGGGUCUAAUCCUCUUCCCGUGUGCCCCUAACUUGCUCGGUGACCUUGGACAGACGCUUAUCUUCUUUAUGCCUCCAGCCUCCUUCUGUAAAGGGAUGAGCUGUAGCCAAUGUCCUCUUCCUGGUAAUGGACAGAGCCGGGGCCACUGUCCGGAGAGGAGAUAGAAUCCUGUCAGAACAGCUUUUCUUUACCACUUCUGGAUCUGCUCCGGAGUUAGAAGGCUGGCGUCUCCAUCAUUCAAUAUUUCACCCCAGCACCAAACCGACAUGGAUACUUUUGAUAUCAUUCAAGGUGCCUCUAAAGAAGGAUACAGUCUGGGAUCAGUUUAAAUGGAAUCCAUCUGAAAGAACCAGAAGGAAUGAUGGUUUCAGACAUGGAGAAUGUUCUGCUUCUAUUUUAGCAAUAAAUUUGACCUUUGUUUUUCUGGCAGCCGAGGCAUAAGGAGUAACAUGAAUGGACUAUUUAUACUUGCUGGACAAAUAGUAGGCUCAAUAAAUAUUUUUUCAUUGACUCUCAACCACCCCUUAGUUGGGAAGGCAAAAUACUGAUAGAGAAGUCCCAGAAGAAUGGAGCACAGGGUGGGUGGCUAGAAAGGUUUUUGGUGAAGGGAGAAUCCUAAAACAAGCUUCAAACUCCCCUGUCUCAACCCGUUGCCAAGGCUAGGCCAUUCUGAGAAAUUCCCAUGAUACAUGCAGGCCACCAGCAUGGCUCCAGGAGGUGAGGCAUGCCCAGUCGUUCCCUGUAGCAGUUCCAUUCCAGGAUGGAAGGUCCAUCUUGAUCUGUAGGCCAGAUAUUUCUUUGAGGAAAAUGUAGCAUUGUCUCUUUUACCCAAUCACAUACCUUUGGAAGGAAAAAAAGGCAACCCUCUACCUGUAGAUCCUUAAGCCUGAGCCCUAACCAGCUGCAGAGCUGGCUCAGAGAACCCUUCGUUACAUAAAGCUUCUGCCCCUGACUGAGGGAUGAACACAGCACCUCCUCACCGGCAGUUAGCUGCUGCCCCUCAGAUUCCCAAAGCCUGCCCUUGGGAUUCAGGGUCAGGCCCAGGCUCAGCCCCAAUUGCCCUUGUGUGAGAGAUUACUCAGUUUCAGAUCUCUGAAAUUCUCUGGGUUUCCCGGUGGAUGGGGAGCUCUCUUCAUUCUUGCUAUUCCUCAGCUUCCACGUUCCUUCACAACGGCCACUUUAAAAAGUCUUUUCUCUGCUGCUUCUUUCCCAGAUUCAGGCUUUUCCUACUACAGCCUCCUCAAAGUUAUUUCUGCUUGCUCCAGUAGGGGAGCUAGGCAGCUGCUCUGAGUUUUGCCGUCUGGGCUUAGAACAGCUUGAAGUUAGCACAAAGGCGAAUGAAGCUUUAAAUCUCCAGCACUUAACAGCUUCUCUGCAGCCUCAGAGGAUCCUCAAACAACGCUGCAACCUAGGGAGAAAAGGAAAUGUGAUAUUCAUUGAGAUUCCUCAUGUCCCAGGGGAGAACCGAGUGCCCAGCCAACAGCCAGCACCAACCACUGCACCUGGGACUGAGUCCAUCUUGCCCUUCCAGCUCUGUUGACCUCCCAGGGGACUGCAGCAACAGGACUGAGCCCAGCUGAGCCCAGCAGAGGAAACGCCCAGCUGAUCCACGAAUCAUGAGGCAUAAUCAAUUGUUUUACAAUACUAAAAUUUAUAUGUAAUCAAAUAAAAAUAUAUGUUGGUGAAGUGAUAUUGCAAAAGGUUAACAAUUGUAUUUAAAUGGUGGAUAUAUGAUUAUUGUGCUAUUUCUAUUUUCUGUGUGUUUGAAAAAUUUAAAAUGAAAAGUUAAAAUAGGCAAAAAAAAAAAAAAAAAAAAAAAGAAUGGUCUAUCCCUAGGCAAAAACUCAUUUGUCAGUAUAUAAUUCAUUUAUCCUAUGGGUUCCUAUGCUGGAGUAGGGAUGGGCAAAAAUAAAAUAAAAAGAAGAGAACAUAGGGGAAGAGAUUAAAAAGCAAGUUGGAAGACUAUACCAUUCAUUCAAUU
RNAcentral lists this long non-coding RNA (2400 nucleotides) under Equus asinus (donkey). RNAcentral's name for it is "lncRNA (ENSEASG00005037613.1)". The record is from RNAcentral. Lineage: Eukaryota; Metazoa; Chordata; Mammalia; Perissodactyla; Equidae.